This 253-nucleotide ribosomal RNA is filed under the name uncultured bacterium. RNAcentral describes it as "partial 16S ribosomal RNA". It matches the Rfam family "Bacterial small subunit ribosomal RNA", at positions 524 to 776 of the family's 1533-position model. The record is from RNAcentral.
UACGUAGGGGGCAAGCGUUGUCCGGAUUUACUGGGCGUAAAGAGCGUGUAGGCGGCCAAGCAGGUCCGUUGUGAAAACUGGAGGCUUAACCUCCAGACGUCGACGGAAACCGCGUGGCUAGAGUCCGGAAGAGGAGAGUGGAAUUCCUGGUGUAGCGGUGAAAUGCGCAGAUAUCAGGAAGAACACCGCUGGCGAAGGCAGAUCUCUGGGCCAUUACUGACGCUGAGGAGCGAAAGCAUGGGGAGCGAACAGG